RNAcentral lists this long non-coding RNA (335 nucleotides) under Gossypium raimondii (Peruvian cotton). Its description in RNAcentral is "long non-coding RNA (GRAI_LNC005302)". Lineage: Eukaryota; Viridiplantae; Streptophyta; Magnoliopsida; Malvales; Malvaceae. The record is from RNAcentral.
AAAUCCUUAAACCUCUUAUUCUUUAUUGGGAAUACAUUGAGUACAAUGUGUAGUUUAAGUGUGGAGGACUACAUAGAAUUUUCUUUUCUUUAUUUUGUGUUUUCUACUUGAUAGUUUUGUGUUUUCUUGUUUGGUGCAUGGUGCUUAAGCAUGGUAUGUGUGAGUAAUUGGUUGAUUUGGUAUGAUAUAUUGUAAUUGACAUAUUCAAAACAUAUAAAUUUUGCAUGAUGGUAGACUUUUUUUUUUUUGAGUUUAGAUUAGUUAGUUUAAUUAAUUAACUUAUGCAAUCGAGUAGAGGUGGUUGCUACAUGUCGAAAUAUCUAAAUUUGUGUCAU